Molecule: unclassified non-coding RNA, 4389 nt
Filed under: Leishmania donovani
Lineage: Eukaryota; Euglenozoa; Kinetoplastea; Trypanosomatida; Trypanosomatidae
Description: gene:LdHU3.22.0290(CDS-product:hypothetical_prote in_conserved)
Source: RNAcentral
UUAUUCCCUAAUCACUUGUGUCUGCUGAUCUCUCUUGCUCAAAGUUGGCCUGUUGCUCGUGCGUGUUUCCCCGUCUCAAUUUUUGCGCUCCGUUGUAGGGGGAGAGGGGUCGCCAAGCUGGUCGCCAGAGAGCGGCUCUGUGAGUGUGUGCGCAUCGUUGCGUGUUGAUGGGUGUCCUCUCAUUGUCGCCGACACGAGAGGCCACGCAUACCUGCGGCAGCACCCCUAUUGUUUCCCUUCGACGUUUCACGCGCGUCCUUCCCGCCCUCGAGCACCGUCUUGACAGUUCAGGGUGGCUGCGGCGUCACACGUGUUCCCGCCUCCCGCGCGCUCAUGCUCGCCCCCUCCCCUUCAUCCCCCUCCCCACGGCUAGCCUGUCAGGCCGCUGCAGGAUGGCCAAGUACUUUGUGCCGGACACCACAUUUGGCAUGGACGCCGAAUGCGCGGUGUGCUGUUGCCUGUGGACAGACCCGGUGGAGAUCAGCGAGUGCCAACAUAUAUUCUGCCGUGGCUGCGUAGAGGGGCUCGAGACGUGCCCCGUGUGCUGUGGGUCUGUCACGCGUCUCAACACACCCGGCAAGUUCAUCCUACGACUUCUACAGCGCACGCAGGGGUCAUGUAGCGCGUGUCUGUGGAAGGGCACGUACAGCGACUUUAAAGAGAAGCAUCUCAAAUGCCUCGAAGCUGGCGAGGUGCAGUCCAGCGACGAGGACAAGAUCCCGACGACGACGGAGUGUGUGGCAAUGCAGGAGUACUACCUCGAAGACAGCAACACCAGACCUGAAGGAUCGGCGCCUUCGCCCGCCGCCGUGGACUCCCUCCUCGUGCAUCCCGCGGCGGUAGUCAACACCGGCAGCCCUCAUGAGCAGCGUUUUGCUGACGUCACGAACAACAGCGCUUCCACCGCCGACGCUCACCUCACGUACGAGCAGCGUGCACAGUGGCGGCAGUCGCUGACUUCAACGGCGCAGGACUAUGGAAUGUUGGAGAGAGAGUACCGCGAGCUGAUUGAGCGUUUUCCCAACUUUGCCGUCCUCGUCCCCGAUAGAGGGAUGGCGCCGGAGCUGCGCUGGCGCGGCGCGUGCCGACUCCUGCGCUUCUUAAACUACCCCAGCCACCCAGACGACGUGAAAAACCUCUUCGAGAUGGCAGGCCGAGACGCCCUGACGGAGUCGGUGCCGUUUCAUGUACUGUGUCUGUGGCUCAUGUUGAACCGACGAAACCCAGCGCAGUGGUACCACAUGACGGCAGAGCCGUACGAGCAGCUCCUGAAGGUAGCACAACUGCUGGAUGUGGAGGCGACCGGGCUCUUUCAGCUGGAUCAGUGCCGCAUCCUCGCUGAGCAGUACUUUGAGCGCGACGUGUGCGACGCUGAGUGGUUGUGUAUCGAGCGCCUGCUGCGCAGCAAGGACACAGAAAUUCGACAAUCCUUCCUCAGUAGUGCCAAUCGUCGGCGCGUCAACCUCGACGAAAGCUUCGUCCUCUCCUCCGCCAAGCUGCCCUUGCAUGACGUGCUGUGUGCCUUCACCCGUCACGUAGACGCGCUGAGGAAGGAGCAGCAGCAGCAGUCGGAGGCGCAGCGGAUGCAGGCGGACUACGUGCGUCGCAUCAAGCGCAUCGUAGGCUUCUACGAGCCGAGCGCGGUGAGCCAGCUGGAUGUCACGCUGCAGAAGUUCACUGGGGAAGAGGAAAGCCUCCUCAUGACGCUGACGGCAAUGUACGGCCCAGAACCCCCCUGAUGAGCCGCCAUUGUGGAGCAAGACGGUGCAGGGCAGGAGGGAGUGGGCGCGCCCGCUGUAAGGCAGAGAAUCCGUGGAGCGCGUCACCAUGGGCGAAGCAGACUAAAGUUGCGUGCAGUGUGCUGCUGACAGUGGAGGUAAGUGUAUGGGCGGUGUGGGCCAAGCAAGUUUCGUAGAGGCGCACGUCACCAGAUGCGAAUACACAGACGCGCGCGCGCACGCACACAUGUCUUUAGGUGUAUCCAUGUAUAUGUGUGUGUACGUUGGCGUGCUCGCCGACGGAUUCUGAAGCGCGCGAGCAAGGGCAGCGCAGCGAGGGGGCGUUGAGAAAAACGGAUGUGUGCCAUGUGGUGGAGGCGCAUGCGCUGAGGGAAAGCGAAUGAAAGUCAGUGCGGAUGUGAGCACAGCAACGACCAGCUGCGCCUCCCUAGAAGGGGGUAUGAGCUCUAUAUAGUUGCUGUUUUCUUUGAUCGGGUAUUCGUAUAUAUAUAUAUAUUUCGCGGUCGGCGGCGGGCCUCAGACAGGGAACGCUGACGGCAAAGUAUCGCUCGCACUCUUCCUCUUACCCGCUUGCUGGCUGAGGAGCAGGCAACAAGCGGGUGUGCGCCACGCCCUGCGGACUGGCUCUUAUGUGGUUGUCGCCUUACCUUUGUAAGCAUUCCUCGGGGCAUAACAGUGGGGCGAGAUCGGGAGGCCGUCGGCGAUCGGUUCUUCUUUUCGUUGCCCAGUGGAAGCGGUGUCUUUGCUCGACAUGUGAGUGUGGCUCCUUCUUUGCAUGUUCUCUGAGAAGGGGCCCCUUCUCCCUCUCUUGCUGUUAGCACUGUCCGCGCCUUCAGAGUAAGUCGCGCCCAUCCGACCCCACCCCCGCCCUUCAUGUUCCCUGCCACUGAGACCGAGAGCUGUAAGGGUAGCGGCCCCGCACUCUUGCCAGCACUCAGCACAGGCAUAUAUACACCCAUCUAUGCUCGUGUGCGGAGGACGCGCUCUAUUCCUGUCGGUGCGGCUCUCAGUAUGUAGGCGAGGGACGGCUGCACGCACGCCGGAAGUCGGAUCGAUGGAGGCAAUAUGUGCUGACACGCUCACCGCCUCAGUGCGACGUUCUUGUUUGUUCCAGUUCACCCCCUUCUCUCUCACUUUCUCGCUCGUUUUUUCCCACCAACGGCAGUCGUACAUCUGUGCGGGGGGGGGGGGAGGGGCCCUCGUUGUGUGACGGAGCAGGGGGUCAGUGAGUAACUGUGCAACAGACGAUUUCCUCGUCCCGUUUUUCUUUGUUUGGUCGGCGCUUCUUUUUGCCCUCUUCUUUGUGGGCCCUGUCCACUCCAACCGCACGAGCACAUGCCCCCUGUAAUUCUUUUGCACUUUUUCUUUUCCAUUGUUCAGGCGAUGAUAGCGUGUGUCUCUCUUCCUCUCCCCUUGUGUGUCUGUGAUUGCGUGUGUGUGUGUCUCCGGGUAUCGGAGUGUAGAUGCGUGCGUCAGGGGGAGGAGGUGAUGAUCUGCACGAGAACAGCGACACUGAGAGACACACAGCUCAUCACUUGUUUUCGUGUUUCCCUCGCUGCCGCUGAUGCUGCUGCCGAUGGGUACUGCUGCCUUCUUGCGCAGGGCAACUACGGUCUCUUCGUAUUUUUAUGGUUUGUCAUCGAGGAGCCCUGUCUCACCCGCUUGCCACAGCCCUCUCGUUCGCCUCGCCCCUUUGUGCACUCCCACCCGGCCCCUGUCGGUUUAAUCCGUAUCAGGUCUUUUCUUCGGUUUCUCCCUCUGCCUUCACUGCUCUUGCGCCUCUACACACACAUCCAAACAAGCGCAGACGCGUGCCCCUCAUCUUUACAGAAUCAGGCCAUGUCGCCUGAAGGCCAAGAGGCUGCAUGAGAAAGGGAGGAGAAUGUGCUUGUGCAUUUCUCUGUGUGCGUUCGUUUUUUUUUUGUUGGGUACUUGCUUUCGGUCAUGUUUGCCUGUCUGUGUCUACUCCAUCAUGUGUGUGUUCUCUCUCUCUCCCCAGACACACAGGUGCGAGUGUGUUGCUGCGUUGUCUGCACCGCCGCGCCCGCUUGCAGACGCGCACUCGCGCGCUCUCUUUGGCUGUUUCGCUGUCGUCUUCUUCACUUGCUGACGGUGUGUUCUGUUAUUAUGCGCGUCUGUGUGUGGUUGGUGGGUGGGUUUGUUCACGCUCUUCCCCCCCCCUCUCCCUCUCGCCCUACUUCUCUGCCGCCCAUGACGUCGUCUUUACCCCAUUUUUUUUACGUCCGCCUGUGUUAUUCUUCGCUCCUGUCUCUCCUCGCUUCGUUUUUCAUCGCUUGCUUACUCUGCUCUCUUCCCGUCGUCCAUGUGGGUGUGGAGGGCCAGGCGCUGGUCUCGCUGGCACCUCUUUGCUUGACCUUCCCCAGGUGGUUUGGGCAUCGCGCCCGCACCCCUCGUCCGCAAUUUCGUGUUCUUGCUGCUUUCAUCUUGCGAUCUCUUGUCUGGUGGACACCCGAUGUAUCUGAGCAUGGCAAUCCACGCAUGCUCCACAGCGAAGCUUCACAUCCAAAUCUACGCCAUCACCGAUCCGUAAACACAUUAGAAAAAAAAAAGACGGAGAUAAACCUCGCGAGCAAGCGUCAGAAGGAAGCACCUUCCUGUUCGAUGCAUGGGCCGGCCUAGCGACGAAGAC